GAUGAACGCUGGCGGCGUGCUUAACACAUGCAAGUCGAACGCACAUAUCUUUCGGGGUGUGUGAGUGGCAGACGGGUGCGUAACACGUAGGUGACCUGCCCUCGAGUGGGGAAUAACCAUUCUAACGGAUGGCUAAUACCGCAUACGUACGCUACGUCGAGUAGUGUAUAAAGCCUUUGGGCGCUUGGGGAUGGGCCUGCGGCGGAUUAGCUAGUUGGUGGGGUAACGGCCUACCAAGGCGAUGAUCCGUAGGGGGCGUGAGAGCGUGGCCCCCCACACUGGCACUGAGAUACGGGCCAGACUCCUACGGGAGGCAGCAGUGAGGAAUAUUGCACAAUGGGCGCAAGCCUGAUGCAGCAACGCCGCGUGCGGGACGAAGGCCUUCGGGUCGUAAACCGCUUUUCUGAGGGAAGAGCAAGGACGGUACCUCAGGAAUAAGUCUCGGCUAACUACGUG
RNAcentral lists this ribosomal RNA (456 nucleotides) under uncultured organism. RNAcentral's name for it is "bacterial SSU rRNA". It matches the Rfam family "Bacterial small subunit ribosomal RNA", at positions 28 to 507 of the family's 1533-position model. The record is from RNAcentral.